This 497-nucleotide ribosomal RNA is filed under the name uncultured bacterium. Its description in RNAcentral is "partial 16S ribosomal RNA". It matches the Rfam family "Bacterial small subunit ribosomal RNA", at positions 28 to 507 of the family's 1533-position model. The record is from RNAcentral.
GACGAACGCUGGCGGCGUGCCUAACACAUGCAAGUCGGGCGAACAGACGCCGUGCUUUCUGCUCGGUCGGGAUGGGUGGCCAGCUGGGGAAUAACACGUGAGUAACCUGCUCCCUCCUGGUGGAUUACGGCAAGCAGGAGUGACUAACACAGGAUAUAUUGAAUCUGUCGCAUGAUGGGUCUGGGACAGUUUUUGUUUCGGUGGGGGAUGGGCUCGCGCCGCAUUAGCUAGUUGGUGAGGUAACGGCUUACCAAGGCAGCGAUGCGUAGCCGGCCUGAGAGGGUGGUCGGCGACACUGGAGGGGAGACACGGUCCCGACUCCUACGAGAGGCAGCAGUAGGGAAUCUUACGGAAUGGGCGGAAGCAGGCCGGAGCAGCGCCGCGUGAGGGAUGAAGGUGUCCGGCUCGUAGAGAUCUGUUUUCGGGGGUGAACAAGUGUGUAAGUAUCUGUGCGCGUGUUGACGGUACCUGGUCAGAAAGCGACGGCUAACUACGUG